This is a long non-coding RNA of Melitaea cinxia (Glanville fritillary), 136 nucleotides long. RefSeq lists it as uncharacterized. The record is from RefSeq and is a predicted model, not a curated record. The transcript is spliced from 3 exons. Lineage: Eukaryota; Metazoa; Arthropoda; Insecta; Lepidoptera; Nymphalidae.
UAGCAUGGUGGUCGCCUCCUGUCAAAGAUUUUCAUUGUAAUCUAAAACUUUGAAUAGUUACGGGUUUCUAUAAAGAACUUACUAUAGACGGCGACCCGGUCGCUUAGAACCGAAUAUAAAAUCAUCAUAUCAAAAA